CGGGGCGUGGCGCAGCCUGGUAGCGCACUUGCAUGGGGUGCAAGGGGUCGCAGGUUCAAAUCCUGCCGUCCCGACCA
RNAcentral lists this transfer RNA (77 nucleotides) under Gammaproteobacteria bacterium. RNAcentral's name for it is "tRNA-Pro". It matches the Rfam family "tRNA". Rfam says of the family: Transfer RNA (tRNA) molecules are approximately 80 nucleotides in length. Their secondary structure includes four short double-helical elements and three loops (D, anti-codon, and T loops). Further hydrogen bonds mediate the characteristic L-shaped molecular structure. tRNAs have two regions of fundamental functional importance: the anti-codon, which is responsible for specific mRNA codon recognition, and the 3' end, to which the tRNAs corresponding amino acid is attached (by aminoacyl-tRNA synthetases). tRNAs cope with the degeneracy of the genetic code in two manners: having more than one tRNA (with a specific anti-codon) for a particular amino acid; and 'wobble' base-pairing, i.e. permitting non-standard base-pairing at the 3rd anti-codon position. Lineage: Bacteria; Pseudomonadati; Pseudomonadota; Gammaproteobacteria. The record is from RNAcentral. RNAcentral also lists the same sequence under 7 other names.